GGAGGAUACCCGUCAUCGGUUGAGAUGAACAUAUCAAGGAUAAACCACCCGAACAACAAGAAUAAGAAUUACAUCUAUCAGAUGCUGGAUAGAAUACCAUCAAAGAGAAUAUCCGUCAUCAGUUAGGAUGAACAUAUCAAGGAUAGGCUCUGAAGGGGGAGCAUAGGGAUUACAUCUAUCAGUUACUGGAUAGAAUACCAA
Molecule: long non-coding RNA, 201 nt
Filed under: Lathyrus oleraceus (garden pea)
Lineage: Eukaryota; Viridiplantae; Streptophyta; Magnoliopsida; Fabales; Fabaceae
Description: Pisum sativum (pea) long non-coding RNA (PSAT_LNC020893)
Source: RNAcentral